GAUGAACGCUGGCGGCGUGCCUAAUACAUGCAAGUCGAGCGAACAGACGAGGAGCUUGCUCCUCUGACGUUAGCGGCGGACGGGUGAGUUACACGUGGAUAACCUACCUAUAAGACUGGGAUAACUCCGGGAAACCGGCGCUAAUACCGGAUCAUAUAUUGAACCGCAUGGUUCAUUAGUAAAAGACGGUUUUGCUGUUACUUAUAGCUGACUCCGCGCCGCCUUAGCUAGUUGGUAAGGUAACGGCUUACCAACGCGACGAUGCGUAGCCGUCCUGAGAGGGUGAUCGCCCACCAUGUAACGGUGGCACGGUCCAGACUCCUAGGGUAGGCAGCAGUAGGGAAUCUUCCGCAAUGGGCGAAAGCCUGACGGAGCAGCGCCGCGUGAGGGAUGAAGGGCUUCGGAUCGUAAAACUCUGUUAUUAGGUAAGAACAAAUGUGUAAGUAACUAUGCACGUCUUGACGGUACCUAAUCAGAAGGCCACGGCUAACUACGUA
Molecule: ribosomal RNA, 497 nt
Filed under: uncultured bacterium
Lineage: Bacteria
Description: partial 16S ribosomal RNA
Rfam family: Bacterial small subunit ribosomal RNA
Source: RNAcentral